AUUGAACGCUGGCGGCAUGCCUAACACAUGCAAGUCGAACGGCAGCACGGCAGUAGCAAUACUGUGGGUGGCGAGUGGCGGACGGGUGAGGAAUACGUCGGAAUCUGCCCAAUCGUGGGGGAUAACUAACCGAAAGGUUAGCUAAUACCGCAUACGACCGAGAGGUGAAAGCGGGGGACCGCAAGGCCUCGCGCGAUUGGAUGAGCCGACGUCGGAUUAGCUUGUUGGUGGGGUAAAGGCCUACCAAGGCAACGAUCCAUAGCCGGUUUGAGAGGAUGAUCAGCCACACUGGGACUGAGACACGGCCCAGACUCCUACGGGAGGCAGCAGUGGGGAAUCUUAGACAAUGGGGGAAACCCUGAUCUAGCCAUGCCGCGUGAUCGAUGAAGGCCUUAGGGUUGUAAAGAUCUUUCAGAUGGGAAGAUAAUGACGGUACCAUCAGAAGAAGCCCCGGCUAACUCCGUGCCAGCAGCCGCGGUAAAGU
This 484-nucleotide ribosomal RNA is filed under the name uncultured bacterium. RNAcentral's name for it is "bacterial SSU rRNA". It matches the Rfam family "Bacterial small subunit ribosomal RNA", at positions 29 to 526 of the family's 1533-position model. The record is from RNAcentral.